UGGCCUCAGGUCUCUGGGAUGGU
This 23-nucleotide non-coding RNA is filed under the name Rattus norvegicus (Norway rat). Lineage: Eukaryota; Metazoa; Chordata; Mammalia; Rodentia; Muridae. The record is from RNAcentral.